RNAcentral lists this ribosomal RNA (513 nucleotides) under uncultured bacterium. RNAcentral's name for it is "partial 16S ribosomal RNA". It matches the Rfam family "Bacterial small subunit ribosomal RNA", at positions 28 to 507 of the family's 1533-position model. The record is from RNAcentral.
GACGAACGCUGGCGGCGUGCUUAACACAUGCAAGUCGAACGAAAAGAGGGAAAGAGCUUGCUCUUUCCGGAAUUGAGUGGCAAACGGGUGAGUAACACGUAAACAACCUGCCUUCAGGAUGGGGACAACAGACGGAAACGACUGCUAAUACCGAAUAAGUUCCAAGAGCCGCAUGGCCCAUGGAAGAAAAGGUGGCCUCUACCUGUAAGCUAUCGCCUGAAGAGGGGUUUGCGUCUGAUUAGCUGGUUGGAGGGGUAACGGCCCACCAAGGCGACGAUCAGUAGCCGGUCUGGGAGGAUGAACGGCCCCCCUGGAACUGAGACACGGUCCAGACUCCUACGGGAGGCAGCAGUGGGGAAUCUUCCGCAAUGGGCGAAAGCCUGACGGAGCAACGCCGCGUGAGUGAUGACGGCCUUCGGGUUGUAAAACUCUGUGAUCCGGGACGAAAAGGCAGAGUGCGAAGAACAAACUGCAUUGACGGUACCGGAAAAGCAAGCCACGGCUAACUACGUG